GAUGAACGCUGGCGGCGUGCCUAAUACAUGCAAGUCGAGCGAACGGACGAGAAGCUUGCUUCUCUGAUGUUAGCGGCGGACGGGUGAGUAACACGUGGAUAACCUACCUAUAAGACUGGGAUAACUUCGGGAAACCGGAGCUAAUACCGGAUAAUAUUUUGAACCGCAUGGUUCAAAAGUGAAAGACGGUCUUGCUGUCACUUAUAGAUGGAUCCGCGCUGCAUUAGCUAGUUGGUAAGGUAACGGCUUACCAAGGCAACGAUGCAUAGCCGACCUGAGAGGGUGAUCGGCCACACUGGAACUGAGACAUGGUCCAGACUCCUACGGGAGGCAGCAGUAGGGAAUCUUCCGCAAUGGGCGAAAGCCUGACGGGGCAACGCCGCGUGAGUGAUGAAGGUCUUCGGAUCGUAAAACUCUGUUAUUAGGGAAGAACAUAUGUGUAAGUAACUGUGCACAUCUUGACGGUACCUAAUCAGAAAGCCACGGCUAACUACGUG
Molecule: ribosomal RNA, 497 nt
Filed under: uncultured bacterium
Lineage: Bacteria
Description: partial 16S ribosomal RNA
Rfam family: Bacterial small subunit ribosomal RNA
Source: RNAcentral